AUUGAACGCUGGCGGUAUGCUUAACACAUGCAAGUCGAACGGUAACAGGCCUUCGGGCGCUGACGAGUGGCGGACGGUGAGUAACGCGUAGGAAUCUGCCUCAUAGUGGGGGACAACGUGGGGAAACUCACGCUAAUACCGCAUACGCCCUACGGGGGAAAGCGGGGGAUCUUCGGACCUCGCGCUAUGAGAUGAGCCUGCGUUAGAUUAGCUAGUUGGUAGGGUAAAGGCCUACCAAGGCGACGAUCUAUAGCUGGUCUGAGAGGACGAUCAGCCACACUGGGACUGAGACACGGCCCAGACUCCUACGGGAGGCAGCAGUGGGGAAUAUUGGACAAUGGGCGCAAGCCUGAUCCAGCAAUACCGCGUGUGUGAAGAAGGCCUUAGGUUGUAAAGCACUUUCAAUUGGGAGGAAAACCUGCCGGUCAAUACCCGGUAGCUUGACAUUACCUUUAGAAGAAGCACCGGCUAACUCCGUGCCAGCAGCCGCGGUAAU
RNAcentral lists this ribosomal RNA (496 nucleotides) under uncultured bacterium. RNAcentral describes it as "bacterial SSU rRNA". It matches the Rfam family "Bacterial small subunit ribosomal RNA", at positions 30 to 524 of the family's 1533-position model. The record is from RNAcentral.